This 679-nucleotide ribosomal RNA is filed under the name uncultured Bacilli bacterium. RNAcentral describes it as "bacterial SSU rRNA". It matches the Rfam family "Bacterial small subunit ribosomal RNA", at positions 61 to 723 of the family's 1533-position model. Lineage: Bacteria; Bacillati; Bacillota; Bacilli. The record is from RNAcentral.
GUAGAACGCUGAAGAGAGGAGCUUGCUCUUCUUGGAUGAGUUGCGAACGGGUGAGUAACGCGUAGGUAACCUGCCUUGUAGCGGGGGAUAACUAUUGGAAACGAUAGCUAAUACCGCAUAACAAUGAAUGACUCAUGUCAUUUAUUUGAAAGGGGCAAUUGCUCCACUACAAGAUGGACCUGCGUUGUAUUAGCUAGUAGGUGAGGUAACGGCUCACCUAGGCGACGAUACAUAGCCGACCUGAGAGGGUGAUCGGCCACACUGGGACUGAGACACGGCCCAGACUCCUACGUGAGGCAGCAGUAGGGAAUCUUCGGCAAUGGGGGCAACCCUGACCGAGCAACGCCGCGUGAGUGAAGAAGGUUUUCGGAUCGUAAAGCUCUGUUGUAAGUCAAGAACGAGUGUGAGAGUGGAAAGUUCACACUGUGACGGUAGCUUACCAGAAAGGGACGGCUAACUACGUGCCAGCAGCCGCGGUAAUACGUAGGUCCCGAGCGUUGUCCGGAUUUAUUGGGCGUAAAGCGAGCGCAGGCGGUUUGAUAAGUCUGAAGUUAAAGGCUGUGGCUCAACCAUAGUUCGCUUUGGAAACUGUCAAACUUGAGUGCAGAAGGGGAGAGUGGAAUUCCAUGUGUAGCGGUGAAAUGCGUAGAUAUAUGGAGGAACACCGGUGGCGAAAGCG